AUGGGCAAAGCAUUCCAUUCAUUCCUUUUCUUAUGAUGACUGAUUGCAAAAGGCUUCCUUGCACAUGUUCUGCUGAGAUGAGGAGGAGGAGAAGGAAGAGAAAAUUGAACAGUGAGCCACAGACGGCUAAUCACGUCCGGAACCAAAAGCACCUGCCCUAUCUGCCUCUACAUUUGGCUCGCCACGCCGAGAGUGGUUGCCAGAUCGUGGACACGGUGCUUCAGAGGAAACCUGGCAACACGCUGAAGAAGUAACAGUAAAUGUGCGCGGUUGCCCAUUGAGUGCUUCGGACAGUGGAUGAUGACCGGUGUGACUACCAGGAUUUUCCUGCCUCUGCGUCAUACUCAAAAAAAUGCUUGCUUUCUUGUAUUCUGUCACAGACAAACGAUAAUAUUUGUAAGAUAGAAAGCUAUGUAACAGAAAGACAAGUACACAGUUUGCAAAGCAAUGUUAAUAAACCGAA
Molecule: long non-coding RNA, 463 nt
Organism: Sinocyclocheilus grahami
Lineage: Eukaryota; Metazoa; Chordata; Actinopteri; Cypriniformes; Cyprinidae
Exons: 4
Source: RefSeq, a predicted model, not a curated record